AAAAGGUUCUCUCUUUAGAAUAACCUCCUGACCCAUUUCUUUUGGCUACAGGAAGGUGCACUCUGACCUGGUGAAUGUAAGGUUAAAAAGUGAACCCUACCCAGGUCAAAUGUUGUGGAAUAGACACAAUUUUUUCAUACUGUGUUUUUUCAGCACUGUAUGGAUCAGGACUCUCAUACCAUAUUAGGGGAAUGCAGGCAAAUUAAUGUUAGACAUUUCUGUAAUUUCUACUGUUAUUUACUGUAUAUCACCCAGUAUAAUACUGUAAAUUCCCUUUACAGUAAGUAACUGUAAUACCCUUUGAAUCAUGGGAAUUUUCUCGGUCCUCAAACCCCACAUACAGAGACUUAUUAUUUUUUAUUUUUUUUUAAUUGCUGUAUACUACUGUAUUUGCCAUGUUUCAUCGCUUGUAAUGAUUGGCAAAUCCAUUUGACCUUCAUGUCAGAAACCGCGUGAGCACUUGGAUUACUGCUGUGUUUCAGAAAUACUGUAUACUGGUGUAUACUGGUGCAUCAUUGUCUAGUGGAGUUGCACCGCGCUGUUCACGUCCGAGGAAGACAUGGAACCAGCACUGGAGUGCCAUGGGUUUUGCCCGGGGAAGAACCGGCUAGAGUGCAAGAUUUCUGCGCUGUUUGUCGAUGCUCCUCACGAGAGACUAAGACCUGCAAGCAAGGCAACUGCAAUGAAGCAUCAAUAAAGACAUGAGCAUGCCAGCCACCCUAUGACUGAUAAUUCAUGGUAAGAGAACAGCUAUGGAUUUGAGAGAUUUGUGUAUUCUGUAUAGAGUUUGACUUUUAAAAGUGUGUCAUUUCUACUUAUUGUUUUUCAGGGAACACAUUCCUGUCACUAAGAUAGUGGAUGGUGAGCAAAGAUGGUGGCUACGUUUUGGAGCAGCACCUGGGUUUUGCAGAUGGCUAUAUAUUUAUUUUCCCAUUAUGUUUCUGUUGCUUAAAUAUUCUUUGUGAGGAUAAAUCCAGAUGAUACAACAUAAUGCACUGCAAAAGGUCCUAAGAUAGGAGAAAUGGUAAAGAUGCACUGUUCCAGUGUUGGAAGACUGUAUUUUUAAGUGUUAUACAUGCAAUGUUUUAAAUAAAGAAUUUGAUAUUUACA
Cyprinus carpio (common carp) is the source of this 1110-nucleotide long non-coding RNA. The record is from Ensembl. Lineage: Eukaryota; Metazoa; Chordata; Actinopteri; Cypriniformes; Cyprinidae.